This 579-nucleotide ribosomal RNA is filed under the name uncultured bacterium. RNAcentral's name for it is "bacterial SSU rRNA". It matches the Rfam family "Bacterial small subunit ribosomal RNA", at positions 338 to 917 of the family's 1533-position model. The record is from RNAcentral.
CCUACGGAAGGCAGCAGUAGGGAAUAUUGGACAAUGGACGCAAGUCUGAUCCAGCCAUGCCGCGUGCAGGAUGACAGCCCUCUGGGUUGUAAACUGCUUUUAUAUGAGAAGAAACCCUCAGAUGCGUUUGAGGCUGACGGUAUCAUAUGAAUAAGGAUCGGCUAACUUCGUGCCAGCAGCCGCGGUAAGACGAAGGAUCCAAGCGUUGUCCGGAUUUACUGGGUUUAAAGGAUGCGUAGGCGGACACUUAAGCCAGUGGUGAAAUCCCAUAGCUCAACUAUGGAACUGCCAUUGGAACUGUGUGUCUUGAAUUCGGUUGAGGUAGAUGGAAUAUAACAUGUAGCGGUGAAAUGCUUAGAUAUGUUAUAGAACACCGAUUGCGAAGGCAGUCUACUAAGCCGACAUUGACGCUGAGGCAUGAAAGCGUGGGGAGCGAACAGGAUUAGAUACCCUGGUAGUCCACGCCCUAAACGUUGAUUACUCGCUGUUAGCGAUAUACUGUUAGCGGCUAAGCGAAAGCGUUAAGUAAUCCACCUGGGAAGUACGAUCGCAAGAUUGAAACUCAAAGGAAUUGACGGA